ACACAUGCAAGUCGAGGGGCAGCAUGGUCUUAGCUUGCUAAGGCCGAUGGCGACCGGCGCACGGGUGAGUAACACGUAUCCAACCUGCCGUCUACUCUUGGACAGCCUUCUGAAAGGAAGAUUAAUACAAGAUGGCAUCAUGAGUCCGCAUGUUCACAUGAUUAAAGGUAUUCCGGUAGACGAUGGGGAUGCGUUCCAUUAGAUAGUAGGCGGGGUAACGGCCCACCUAGUCUUCGAUGGAUAGGGGUUCUGAGAGGAAGGUCCCCCACAUUGGAACUGAGACACGGUCCAAACUCCUACGGGAGGCAGCAGUGAGGAAUAUUGGUCAAUGGGCGAGAGCCUGAACCAGCCAAGUAGCGUGAAGGAUGACUGCCCUAUGGGUUGUAAACUUCUUUUAUAAAGGGAUAAAGUCGGGUAUGGAUACCCGUUUGCAUGUACUUUAUGAAUAAGGAUCGGCUAACUCCGUGCCAGCAGCCGCGGUAAUACGGAGGAUCCGAGCGUUAUCCGGAUUUAUUGGGUUUAAAGGGAGCGUAGAUGGAUGUUUAAGUCAGUUGUGAAAGUUUGCGGCUCAACCGUAAAAUUGCAGUUGAUACUGGAUAUCUUGAGUGCAGUUGAGGCAGGCGGAAUUCGUGGUGUAGCGGUGAAAUGCUUAGAUAUCACGAAGAACUCCGAUUGCGAAGGCAGCCUGCUAAGCUGCAACUGACAUUGAGGCUCGAAAGUGUGGGUAUCAAACAGGAUUAGAUACCCUGGUAGUCCACACAGUAAACGAUGAAUACUCGCUGUUUGCGAUAUACAGUAAGC
RNAcentral lists this ribosomal RNA (801 nucleotides) under uncultured bacterium. Its description in RNAcentral is "bacterial SSU rRNA". It matches the Rfam family "Bacterial small subunit ribosomal RNA", at positions 51 to 844 of the family's 1533-position model. The record is from RNAcentral.